This 252-nucleotide ribosomal RNA is filed under the name uncultured Paenibacillus sp. Its description in RNAcentral is "partial 16S ribosomal RNA". It matches the Rfam family "Bacterial small subunit ribosomal RNA", at positions 524 to 776 of the family's 1533-position model. The record is from RNAcentral. Lineage: Bacteria; Bacillati; Bacillota; Bacilli; Caryophanales; Paenibacillaceae.
UACGUAGGGGGCAAGCGUUGUCCGGAAUUAUUGGGCGUAAAGCGCGCGCAGGCGGUGAUUUAAGUUUGGUGUUUAAGCCCGGGGCUCAACCUCGGUUCGCAUCGAAAACUGGGUCACUUGAGUGUAGGAGAGGAAAGUGGAAUUCCACGUGUAGCGGUGAAAUGCGUAGAGAUGUGGAGGAACACCAGUGGCGAAGGCGACUUUCUGGCCUAUAACUGACGCUGAGGCGCGAAAGCGUGGGGAGCAAACAGG